RNAcentral lists this small RNA (140 nucleotides) under Xenorhabdus innexi. Lineage: Bacteria; Pseudomonadati; Pseudomonadota; Gammaproteobacteria; Enterobacterales; Morganellaceae. The record is from RNAcentral.
UAAUAAAAAAAGGCCGAGCUUAUUCCUCAACCCGGCCUAGGGAAAAUGGCUCUGUUAGAGAGCCGUGCGCUAAAAUGCCAUUGAGACGUAGAACAACUUACCUCUUAUAGAGUAGUUGACACAGGAUAAUUUACCAAGUU